RNAcentral lists this ribosomal RNA (157 nucleotides) under Fusarium chlamydosporum. RNAcentral's name for it is "5.8S ribosomal RNA". It matches the Rfam family "5.8S ribosomal RNA". Rfam says of the family: 5.8S ribosomal RNA (5.8S rRNA) is a component of the large subunit of the eukaryotic ribosome. Lineage: Eukaryota; Fungi; Ascomycota; Sordariomycetes; Hypocreales; Nectriaceae. The record is from RNAcentral.
AAACUUUCAACAACGGAUCUCUUGGUUCUGGCAUCGAUGAAGAACGCAGCGAAAUGCGAUAAGUAAUGUGAAUUGCAGAAUUCAGUGAAUCAUCGAAUCUUUGAACGCACAUUGCGCCCGCCAGUAUUCUGGCGGGAUUCCUGUCCGAGCGAAAUUU